CGGGUAGCGGAACACGUACAGAACCUUCCUUUAAGCGGGGGAUAGCCCGAAGAAAUUCGGAUUAAUACCCCAUAGUAUAAUUUGAUGGCAUCAUUAGAUUAUUAAAGAUUUAUCACUUAGAGAUGGCUGUGCGGCUGAUUAGGUAGUUGGUCGGGGUAACGGCCCACCAAGCCUGCGAUCAGUAACUGGUGUGAGAGCACGACCAGUCACACGGGCACUGAGACACGGGCCCG
Molecule: ribosomal RNA, 233 nt
Filed under: uncultured bacterium
Lineage: Bacteria
Description: partial 16S ribosomal RNA
Rfam family: Bacterial small subunit ribosomal RNA
Source: RNAcentral